This 433-nucleotide ribosomal RNA is filed under the name uncultured bacterium. Its description in RNAcentral is "partial 16S ribosomal RNA". It matches the Rfam family "Bacterial small subunit ribosomal RNA", at positions 29 to 507 of the family's 1533-position model. The record is from RNAcentral.
AACGAACGCUGGCGGCAUGCCUAACACAUGCAAGUCGAACGAAGCCUUCGGGCUUAGCGGCGCACGGGUGCGUAACGCGUGGGAAUCUGCCCCUUGCUUCGGAAUAACAGUUAGAAAUGACUGCUAAUACCGGAUGAAGUCUUCGGACCAAAGAUUUAUCGGCAAGGGAUGAGCCCGCGUAGGAUUAGGUAGUUGGUGGGGUAAAGGCCUACCAAGCCGACGAUCCUUAGCUGGUCUGAGAGGAUGAUCAGCCACACUGGGACUGAGACACGGCCCAGACUCCUACGGGAAGCAGCAGUGGGGAAUAUUGGACAAUGGACGCAAGUCUGAUCCAGCAAUGCCGCGUGAGUGAUGAAGGCCUUAGGGUUGUAAAGCUCUUUUACCAGGGAUGAUAAUGACAGUACCUGGAGAAUAAGCUCCGGCUAACUCCGUG